Long non-coding RNA from Macrobrachium nipponense, 415 nucleotides. RefSeq lists it as uncharacterized. The transcript is spliced from 4 exons. Lineage: Eukaryota; Metazoa; Arthropoda; Malacostraca; Decapoda; Palaemonidae. The record is from RefSeq and is a predicted model, not a curated record.
CAGGGCUCGAACCUGGGACCUUCUGCGUGUAAAGCAGACGUGAUAACCACUACACUACGAGAGCCAGAUGAUACAUAUAGAUGCAUAGUUGGCAACAGAUAUACAGGGCUCGAACCUGGGACCUUCUGCGUGUAAAGCAGACGUGAUAACCACUACACUACGAGAGCUGGAUGAUUCAUGUUGAUGUAUAUUUGGCCACAGAUGUGCAGGGCUCGAACCUUGGACCUUCUACGUGUAAAGCAGACGUGAUAACCACUACACUAUGAGAGCCAGAUGAUACAUACAGAUGCAUUGUUGGCAACAGAUAUACAGGGCUCGAACCUGGGACCUUCUGCGUGUAAAGCAGACGUGAUAACCACUACACUACGAGAGCUGGAUGAUUCAUGUUGAUGUAUAUUUGGCCACAGAUGUGCAG